GAGGAAACAAAUGAGCUUGACCAGGUAUGUACUUUUAUGGACCCUUGUAAUGAAUAUUGUGGUAGUGUUUAAUUGAAAACUAAAUGAAAGUGAUAAUAUAACCGAUAGUUUCAAGUCUAGGAAAUUUUAACAAGCUAUGAAUUGAGGUUAACAUGAGAUUUGCUUGUUGAUUUAUCUGCAUCAGUAUCUAUUUAGAAGGUUCGGCUAUGUUAUAUGGUAGUGAGCGUUGGGCACUGAAAGAGUUGCAUGUGUAGAGGUGGACCUAAACUGACUUGGAGG
Molecule: unclassified non-coding RNA, 279 nt
Filed under: Hevea brasiliensis (rubber tree)
Lineage: Eukaryota; Viridiplantae; Streptophyta; Magnoliopsida; Malpighiales; Euphorbiaceae
Source: RNAcentral